RNAcentral lists this ribosomal RNA (492 nucleotides) under uncultured bacterium. RNAcentral's name for it is "partial 16S ribosomal RNA". It matches the Rfam family "Bacterial small subunit ribosomal RNA", at positions 29 to 507 of the family's 1533-position model. The record is from RNAcentral.
AGUGAACGCUGGCGGUAGGCCUAACACAUGCAAGUCGAACGGCAGCACAGUAAGAGCUUGCUCUUACGGGUGACGAGUGGCGGACGGGUGAGGAAUACAUCGGAAUCUACUUUUUCGUGGGGGAUAACGUAGGGAAACUUACGCUAAUACCGCAUACGACCUACGGGUGAAAGCAGGGGAUCUUCGGACCUUGCGCGAUUGAAUGAGCCGAUGUCGGAUUAGCUAGUUGGCGGGGUAAAGGCCCACCAAGGCGACGAUCCGUAGCUGGUCUGAGAGGAUGAUCAGCCACACUGGAACUGAGACACGGUCCAGACUCCUACGGGAGGCAGCAGUGGGGAAUAUUGGACAAAGGGGGCAAGCCUGAUCCAGCCAUACCGCGUGGGUGAAGAAGGCCUUCGGGUUGUAAAGCCCUUUUGUUGGGAAAGAAAAGCAGCAGGUUAAUACCCCGCUGUUCUGACGGUACCCAAAGAAUAAGCACCGGCUAACUUCGUG